UCGAGCGAACGGACGAGAAGCUUGCUUCUCUGAUGUUAGCGGCGGACGGGUGAGUAACACGUGGAUAACCUACCUAUAAGACUGGGAUAACUUCGGGAAACCGGAGCUAAUACCGGAUAAUAUUUUGAACCGCAUGGUUCAUAAGUGAAAGACGGUCUUGCUGUCACUUAUAGAUGGAUCCGCGCUGCAUUAGCUAGUUGGUAAGGUAACGGCUUACCAAGGCAACGAUGCAUAGCCGACCUGAGAGGGUGAUCGGCCACACUGGAACUGAGACACGGUCCAGACUCCUACGGGAGGCAGCAGUAGGGAAUCUUCCGCAAUGGGCGAAAGCCUGACGGAGCAACGCCGCGUGAGUGAUGAAGGUCUUCGGAUCGUAAAACUCUGUUAUUAGGGAAGAACAUAUGUGUAAGUAACUGUGCACAUCUUGACGGUACCUAAUCAGAAAGCCACGGCUAACUACGUGCCAGCAGCCGCGGUAAUACGUAGGUGGCAAGCGUUAUCCGGAAUUAUUGGGCGUAAAGCGCGCGUAGGCGGUUUUUUAAGUCUGAUGUGAAAGCCCACGGCUCAACCGUGGAGGGUCAUUGGAAACUGGAAAACUUGAGUGCAGAAGAGGAAAGUGGAAUUCCAUGUGUAGCGGUGAAAUGCGCAGAGAUAUGGAGGAACACCAGUGGCGAAGGCGACUUUCUGGUCUGUAACUGACGCUGAUGUGCGAAAGCGUGGGGAUCAAACAGGAUUAGAUACCCUGGUAGUCCACGCCGUA
This 760-nucleotide ribosomal RNA is filed under the name uncultured Staphylococcus sp. RNAcentral's name for it is "bacterial SSU rRNA". It matches the Rfam family "Bacterial small subunit ribosomal RNA", at positions 62 to 804 of the family's 1533-position model. Lineage: Bacteria; Bacillati; Bacillota; Bacilli; Caryophanales; Staphylococcaceae. The record is from RNAcentral.